Molecule: ribosomal RNA, 659 nt
Filed under: Astilbe rubra
Lineage: Eukaryota; Viridiplantae; Streptophyta; Magnoliopsida; Saxifragales; Saxifragaceae
Description: eukaryotic LSU rRNA
Rfam family: 5.8S ribosomal RNA (bases 274-429)
Source: RNAcentral
CCGAACCUGCAUGGCAGAACAACCCGCGAACACGUGGUUAGCCUACACGCGGGGACGGACGGGCGCCCGCUCGUCUUUCCCGCCGUCGGGCUGCGCUCGGCGACCCGUCGCCCCACAACGCCCGGCGUUUUGGGGGGGCGUUCCCGGGCGCUCCCGACCCAACAACGAACCCCGGCGUGAAUUGCGCCAAGGAUCCUAAAAGAAAGAGCGUUCCUCCGUUGCCGCGUUCGCGCAAGCAAUCGGAGGAGGCGUCGUCUUCUUGAUGUCUUUAAUGACUCUCGGCAACGGAUAUCUCGGCUCUCGCAUCGAUGAAGAACGUAGCGAAAUGCGAUACUUGGUGUGAAUUGCAGAAUCCCGUGAACCAUCGAGUUUUUGAACGCAAGUUGCGCCCGAAGCCAUUCGGUUGAGGGCACGUCUGCCUGGGCGUCACGUACCCACGCCUCCCGCAAAACCCGUCCCCGUCUCGGGGCGAAGAAUUUUGCGGCGAGCGGAGAAUGGCCUCCCGUGCCGACCAUCAGGCGCGGCUGGCCUAAAAAAGAGAGUACCGAGUGACGGAGCGUCACGACAAGUGGUGGUUUACAGGCCCUCGCGGCCGGCCGAAUCUAGUCGUGCGCGCGCUCGUUGCUCGGAUAAACUCUCGUGCGAACCCCGACACGUCC